UGCAAUUCUUGACGUAGUCUUCGAUGUC
This 28-nucleotide small RNA is filed under the name Bombyx mori (domestic silkworm). Its description in RNAcentral is "ovarian small RNA-33428". The record is from RNAcentral. Lineage: Eukaryota; Metazoa; Arthropoda; Insecta; Lepidoptera; Bombycidae.